GAGAGAGAGAGAGAGAGAGAGAGAUAGAGAGAGAGUUGUGCUGGAGAAAUGAACUCAAGAAGAAGAAGAAAUAAGGAAGGAAAGGCAUGGAAUUGAAGGCAAUCAACUAAACUUCUUGAGAUUAAAGUUUAAGGUCACGCGCUAUGAUCCGUCCGAUUUGUCUCUAGAGCUAUCUGUGAGUAACGACCUUGUAAAGAUAUGUUGAAUUAUAAAUAUUUUCUGACUUAUAAAACACUCUGUUUCUGAAAUACUAUUUUCUGAUUGAUUGAAUGAUUGUCCUGUUUUAUAAACUAUACUCGUGGCAUCCUUAGCAUAUGUUUGCUGUUACUGUUAUAGAGAUCUCUGUUAGUUCCAAUUCUUGAAACUUCUAUUUACCGUAUUGAUGGCCAUCAUAUACGUAUGUUGGGUCUUCAUGACCGUCUGUUCGGUCUUCAUGACCAUUUGUAUUGUUCUGCUAUUGGAUGUACCACGUAUAACUACUAUGCUUUCUGUAUGAAAUACGUAUCUGUUUCGCAUAUGAUUCUGAUUUUCUAUUUUACUGUUAAAAUUGACCGA
This is a non-coding RNA of Camellia sinensis, 555 nucleotides long. The record is from RefSeq and is a predicted model, not a curated record. Lineage: Eukaryota; Viridiplantae; Streptophyta; Magnoliopsida; Ericales; Theaceae.